AGUGAACGCUGGCGGUAGGCCUAACACAUGCAAGUCGAACGGCAGCACAGUAAGAGCUUGCUCUUACGGUUGGCGAGUGGCGGACGGGUGAGGAAUACAUCGGAAUCUACUUUUUCGUGGGGGAUAACGUAGGGAAACUUACGCUAAUACCGCAUACGACCUACGGGUGAAAGCAGUGGAUCUUCGGACCUUGCGCGAUUGUAUGAGCCGAUGUCGGAUUAGAUAGUUGGCGGGGUAAAGGCCCACCAAGGCGACGAUCCGUAGCUUGUCUGAGAGGAUGAUCAGCCACACUGGAACGGAGACACGGUCCAGACUCCUACGGGAGGCAGCAGUGGGGAAUAUUGGACAAUGGGCGAAAGCCGGAUCCAGCAAGACCGCGUGGGUGAAGAAGGCCUUCGGGUUGUAAAGCCCUUUUGUUGGGAAAGAAAAGCAGCAGGUUAAUACCACGCUGUUCUGACGGUACCCAAAGAAUAAGCACCGGCUAACUUCGUG
This 492-nucleotide ribosomal RNA is filed under the name uncultured bacterium. RNAcentral describes it as "partial 16S ribosomal RNA". It matches the Rfam family "Bacterial small subunit ribosomal RNA", at positions 29 to 507 of the family's 1533-position model. The record is from RNAcentral.